CUGGGAGGACCAUCUCCUAAGGCUAAAUACUCUCUAGUGACCGAUAGUGAACCAGUACCGUGAGGGAAAGGUGAAAAGCACCCCGGAAGGGGAGUGAAAUAGAACCUGAAACCGUGUGCUUACAAGUAGUCAGAGCCCGUUAAUGGGUGAUGGCGUGCCUUUUGUAGAAUGAACCGGCGAGUUACGAUUUGAUGCAAGGUUAAGCAGUAAAUGUGGAGCCGUAGCGAAAGCGAGUCUGAAUAGGGCGUUUAGUAUUUGGUCGUAGACCCGAAACCAGGUGAUCUACCCUUGGUCAGGUUGAAGUUCAGGUAACACUGAAUGGAGGACCGAACCGACUUACGUUGAAAAGUGAGCGGAUGAACUGAGGGUAGCGGAGAAAUUCCAAUCGAACCUGGAGAUAGCUGGUUCUCUCCGAAAUAGCUUUAGGGCUAGCCUCAAGUGAUGAUUAUUGGAGGUAGAGCACUGUUUGGACGAGGGGCCCCUCUCGGGUUACCGAAUUCAGACAAACUCCGAAUGCCAAUUAAUUUAACUUGGGAGUCAGAACAUGGGUGAUAAGGUCCGUGUUCGAAAGGGAAACAGCCCAGACCACCAGCUAAGGUCCCAAAAUAU
This 609-nucleotide ribosomal RNA is filed under the name Staphylococcus aureus. RNAcentral's name for it is "partial 23S ribosomal RNA". It matches the Rfam family "Bacterial large subunit ribosomal RNA", at positions 444 to 1055 of the family's 2925-position model. The record is from RNAcentral. Lineage: Bacteria; Bacillati; Bacillota; Bacilli; Caryophanales; Staphylococcaceae.